CUAAUACCGCAUACGUCCUACGGGAGAAAGCAGGGGACCUUCGGGCCUUGCGCUAUCCGAUGAGCCUAUGUCGGAUUACCUAGUUGGUGAGGUAAUGGCUCACCAAGGCGACCAUCCGUAACUGGUCUGACAGGAUGAUCAUUCACACUGGAACUGACACACGGUCCAUACUCCUACGGGAGGCAUCAUUGGGGAAUAUUGGACAAUGGGCCAACGCCUGAUCCAGCCAUGCCGCGUGUGUGAAGAAGGUCUUCGGAUUGUAAAUCACUUUACGUUGGGAGGAAGGGUACUUACCUAAUACGUGAGUAUUUUGACGUUACCGACAUAAUAAGCACCGGCUAACUCUGUGCCAGCAACCGCGGUAAUACAAAGGGUGCAAGCGUUAAUCGGAAUUACUGGG
Molecule: ribosomal RNA, 400 nt
Filed under: Pseudomonas chlororaphis
Lineage: Bacteria; Pseudomonadati; Pseudomonadota; Gammaproteobacteria; Pseudomonadales; Pseudomonadaceae
Description: bacterial SSU rRNA
Rfam family: Bacterial small subunit ribosomal RNA
Source: RNAcentral